AAUAAAUUUUUAUAGUUUAAAUAUUUUAUUAUAAGUUUAUUUUACAUAUAAAUUUUAGUAUUAAUUUUUAAUUAUUUUAAAAAUAAUUAAUUAAUUUUGUAGUAAUUAAUAUUAAAAAUUUAAGAAAUUAAGAUUUAGUAAUAUUUUAAUUAAUAACAAAUUUUGUGCCAGCAGUUGCGGUUAAACAAAAGUUAAAUUAAAUUUUAUUAGAAAUUAAUAAUUAAUAAAUAAUAUAAUUAAUUAAAUAUUAAAUUAUUAGGUGAAAUUUUAAUUUAAUUAAAUUUAAUUUUAAAAUUAUAAUUUAAUAAAUUUUAUUUAUAAACUAGGAUUAGAUACCCUAUUAUUAAAAAAUUAAAUUUUAAUUCUAAAAUAGUAUGUAAUUAUUUAUUGAAACUUAAAUAAUUUGGCGGUAUUUUAGUUCAUUUAGAGGAAUCUGUUUAAUAAUUGAUAAUCCACGAAUAAAUUUACUUAAUUUAAUAUUUUGUAUAUCGUUGUUAAAAAAAUAUUUUUAGAUAAAAAUAAUAUUUAAAAAUUAAAAAAAAAAUUAAAUCAGAUCAAGAUGCAGAUUAUAAUUAAGAAUAUAAUGGAUUACAAUAAAUUUAUUUAUUACUAAUUUUAAUUUGUAAAAGUUAAAUGAAGGUGGAUUUAAAUGUAAUUUUAAUUAAUUUAUUAAAAUGAUUAAAAAUUAAUAUAUGUACAUAUUGCCCGUCGCUUUCAUUAAUAAAUUGGAAUAAGUCGUAACAAAGUAGAGAUACUGGAAAGUGUUUCUAGAAAUAA
RNAcentral lists this non-coding RNA (777 nucleotides) under Palpita hypohomalia. Lineage: Eukaryota; Metazoa; Arthropoda; Insecta; Lepidoptera; Crambidae. The record is from RNAcentral.